Molecule: ribosomal RNA, 493 nt
Filed under: uncultured bacterium
Lineage: Bacteria
Description: bacterial SSU rRNA
Rfam family: Bacterial small subunit ribosomal RNA
Source: RNAcentral
AAAUGAAUAGACGGGGGCCCGCACAAGCGGUGGAGCAUGUGGUUUAAUUCGACGCAACGCGAAGAACCUUACCAGGCCUUGACAUGGCGGCAGAUGCGCAAGAGACUGCGCAGCCCUUCGGGGUGCCGCAACAGGUGGUGCAUGGUUGUCGUCAGCUCGUGUCGUGAGAUGUUGGGUUAAGUCCCGCAACGAGCGCAACCCUUGUUGUUAGUUGCCAGCAUUAACGGUGGGCACUCUAAUGAGACUGCCGGUGACAAACCGGAGGAAGGUGGGGAUGACGUCAAAUCAUCAUGCCCUUUAUGGCCUGGGCUACACACGUGCUACAAUGGCCAGUACAGAGGGAAGCCAAGGAGCGAUCCGGAGCAAAUCCCAAAAAGCUGGUCCCAGUUCAGAUUGCAGGCUGCAACUCGCCUGCAUGAAGUCGGAAUCGCUAGUAAUCGCAGAUCAGCAUGCUGCGGUGAAUACGUUCCCGGGCCUUGUACACACCGCCCGU